AUGCUUUUUUGUUUGGUUUUAAUAUAUUUUUAUUUUUUAGGUUUAAAUCAGGAAGAAGUAUUUUUGAAUGCUGAAAAGCAUUGGCUUCUAGGUUUCUAUGUUGGUUUUCCUAUUCUCAUUGUAGCCACUGCAAUAAUUGUGGCAUGGAAUAAAUUGAAAAAGCGGCCCACCAAGGAAGAGGAAUCCCGAAGUAACGAAUCCACGUCAGAAGAUAGUACUCAAGCAGAAACCAGCAGAUCAGACUCACAGGAAAGCACCCAAUCAACAAGUAGUAGUAGUAACUAG
RNAcentral lists this long non-coding RNA (285 nucleotides) under Oryctolagus cuniculus (rabbit). RNAcentral describes it as "lncRNA (ENSOCUG00000030407.1)". Lineage: Eukaryota; Metazoa; Chordata; Mammalia; Lagomorpha; Leporidae. The record is from RNAcentral.